AGAGUUUGAUCAUGGCUCAGAUUGAACGCUGGCGGCAGGCCUAACACAUGCAAGUCGAACGGUAACAGGAAGCAGCUUGCUGCUUUGCUGACGAGUGGCGAACGGGUGAGUAAUGUCUGGGAAACUGCCUGAUGGAGGGGGAUAACUACUGGAAACGGUGGCUAAUACCGCAUAACGUCGCAAGACCAAAGAGGGGGACCUUCGGGCCUCUUGCCAUCAGAUGUGCCCAGAUGGGAUUAGCUUGUUGGUGAGGUAACGGCUCACCAAGGCGACGAUCCCUAGCUGGUCUGAGAGGAUGACCAGCCACACUGGAACUGAGACACGGUCCAGACUCCUACGGGAGGCAGCAGUGGGGAAUAUUGCACAAUGGGCGCAAGCCUGAUGCAGCCAUGCCGCGUGUAUGAAGAAGGCCUUCGGGUUGUAAAGUACUUUCAGCGGGGAGGAAGGUGUUGUGGUUAAUAACCACAGCAAUUGACGUUACCCGCAGAAGAAGCACCGGCUAACUCCGUGCCAGCAGCCGCGGUAAUACGGAGGGUGCAAGCGUUAAUCGGAAUUACUGGGCGUAAAGCGCACGCAGGCGGUCUGUCAAGUCGGAUGUGAAAUCCCCGGGCUCAACCUGGGAACUGCAUUCGAAACUGGCAGGCUUGAGUCUUGUAGAGGGGGGUAGAAUUCCAGGUGUAGCGGUGAAAUGCGUAGAGAUCUGGAGGAAUACCGGUGGCGAAGGCGGCCCCCUGGACAAAGACUGACGCUCAGGUGCGAAAGCGUGGGGAGCAAACAGGAUUAGAUACCCUGGUAGUCCACGCCGUAAACGAUGUCUACUUGGAGGUUGUGCCCUUGAGGCGUGGCUUCCGGAGCUAACGCGUUAAGUAGACCGCCUGGGGAGUACGGCCGCAAGGUUAAAACUCAAAUGAAUUGACGGGGGCCCGCACAAGCGGUGGAGCAUGUGGUUUAAUUCGAUGCAACGCGAAGAACCUUACCUGGUCUUGACAUCCACAGAACUUUCCAGAGAUGGAUUGGUGCCUUCGGGAACUGUGAGACAGGUGCUGCAUGGCUGUCGUCAGCUCGUGUUGUGAAAUGUUGGGUUAAGUCCCGCAACGAGCGCAACCCUUAUCCUUUGUUGCCAGCGGUUAGGCCGGGAACUCAAAGGAGACUGCCAGUGAUAAACUGGAGGAAGGUGGGGAUGACGUCAAGUCAUCAUGGCCCUUACGACCAGGGCUACACACGUGCUACAAUGGCGCAUACAAAGAGAAGCGACCUCGCGAGAGCAAGCGGACCUCAUAAAGUGCGUCGUAGUCCGGAUUGGAGUCUGCAACUCGACUCCAUGAAGUCGGAAUCGCUAGUAAUCGUGGAUCAGAAUGCCACGGUGAAUACGUUCCCGGGCCUUGUACACACCGCCCGUCACACCAUGGGAGUGGGUUGCAAAAGAAGUAGGUAGCUUAACCUUCGGGAGGGCGCUUACCACUUUGUGAUUCAUGACUGGGGUGAAGUCGUAACAAGGUAACCGUAGGGGAACCUGCGGUUGGAUCACCU
This 1530-nucleotide ribosomal RNA is filed under the name Salmonella enterica. RNAcentral describes it as "bacterial SSU rRNA". It matches the Rfam family "Bacterial small subunit ribosomal RNA". Lineage: Bacteria; Pseudomonadati; Pseudomonadota; Gammaproteobacteria; Enterobacterales; Enterobacteriaceae. The record is from RNAcentral.